RNAcentral lists this ribosomal RNA (292 nucleotides) under uncultured bacterium. RNAcentral's name for it is "partial 16S ribosomal RNA". It matches the Rfam family "Bacterial small subunit ribosomal RNA", at positions 505 to 796 of the family's 1533-position model. The record is from RNAcentral.
GUGUCAGCAGCCGCGGUAAUACAGAGGGUGCAAGCGUUGUCCGGAAUCACUGGGCGUAAAGGGCGCGUAGGCGGCUCGGUAAGUAGGGGGUGAAAUCUCAUGGCUCAACUGUGAGGCUGCCUUCUAGACUGCCGGGCUUGAGCACAGUAGAGGCUGGUGGAAUUCCCGGUGUAGCGGUGGAAUGCGUAGAGAUCGGGAAGAACAUCUGUGGCGAAGGCGGCCAGCUGGGCUGUUGCUGACGCUGAUGCGCGACAGCGUGGGGAGCAAACAGGAUUAGAUACCCCAGUAGUCC